RNAcentral lists this ribosomal RNA (500 nucleotides) under uncultured bacterium. RNAcentral describes it as "bacterial SSU rRNA". It matches the Rfam family "Bacterial small subunit ribosomal RNA", at positions 30 to 527 of the family's 1533-position model. The record is from RNAcentral.
AUUGAACGCUGGCGGCAUGCCUUACACAUGCAAGUCGAACGGUAGAGGGGGCAACCCCUUGAGAGUGGCGAACGGGUGAGUAAUAUAUCGGAACGUGCCCAGUCGUGGGGAUAACGUAGCGAAAGUUACGCUAAUACCGCAUACGAUCUAAGGAUGAAAGCGGGGGAUCGCAAGACCUCGCGCGAUUGGAGCGGCCGAUAUCAGAUUAGGUAGUUGGUGAGGUAAAGGCUCACCAAGCCAACGAUCUGUAGCUGGUCUGAGAGGACGACCAGCCACACUGGAACUGAGACACGGUCCAGACUCCUACGGGAGGCAGCAGUGGGGAAUUUUGGACAAUGGACGCAAGUCUGAUCCAGCCAUUCCGCGUGCAGGAUGAAGGCCCUCGGGUUGUAAACUGCUUUUGUACGGAACGAAAAGGUUUCUAUUAAUACUAGGAGCUCAUGACGGUACCGUAAGAAUAAGCACCGGCUAACUAACGUGCCAGCAGCCGCGGUAAAGUG